RNAcentral lists this ribosomal RNA (326 nucleotides) under uncultured eukaryote. Its description in RNAcentral is "SSU rRNA". It matches the Rfam family "Eukaryotic small subunit ribosomal RNA", at positions 1461 to 1785 of the family's 1831-position model. The record is from RNAcentral.
UCUGUGAUGCCCUUAGACGUUCUGGGCCGCACGCGCGCUACACUGACGGAGCCAGCGAGUUUAUACCUUGGCCGAGAGGUCCGGGAAAUCUUGUGAAACUCCGUCGUGCUGGGGAUAGAGCAUUGUAAUUAUUGCUCUUCAACGAGGAAUUCCUAGUAAGCGCAAGUCAUCAGCUUGCGUUGAUUACGUCCCUGCCCUUUGUACACACCGCCCGUCGCUACUACCGAUUGAAUGGCUUAGUGAGGCUUCCGGAUUGGUUUAGAGAAGGGGGCAACUCCAUCUUGGAACUGAAAAGCUAGUCAAACUUGGUCAUUUAGAGGAAGUAA